Molecule: ribosomal RNA, 117 nt
Filed under: Klebsiella pneumoniae
Lineage: Bacteria; Pseudomonadati; Pseudomonadota; Gammaproteobacteria; Enterobacterales; Enterobacteriaceae
Also listed under: 6 other names
Source: RNAcentral
CCUGGCGGCACUAGCGCGGUGGUCCCACCUGACCCCAUGCCGAACUCAGAAGUGAAACGCCGUAGCGCCGAUGGUAGUGUGGGGGUCUCCCCAUGCGAGAGUAGGGAACUGCCAGGC